GAGUUUGAUUAUGGCUCAGGAUGAACGCUAGCGAUAGGCUUAACACAUGCAAGUCGAGGGGCAGCACGGGAUUAGCUUGCUAAUCUUGGUGGCGACCGGCGUAAGGGUGCGUAACGCGUAUGCAACUUGCCUGUCAGUGGGGAAUAACCCGGAGAAAUCCGGACUAAUACCGCAUACACUUUGGUUUCCGCAUGGGGACUUUAGGAAAGAUUUAUUGCUGACAGCUAGGCAUGCGUUCCAUUAGAUAGUUGGUGAGGUAACGGCUCACCAAGUCAACGAUGGAUAGGGGAGCUGAGAGGCUUAUCCCCCACACUGGAACUGAGACACGGUCCAGACUCCUACGGGAGGCAGCAGUGAGGAAUAUUGGUCAAUGGGCGAGAGCCUGAACCAGCCAAGUCGCGUGAAGGAAGACGGUCCUAUGGAUUGUAAACUUCUUUAGUAGGUGAGUACAAGCAGUUACGUGUAAGCUGUAACUAAGUAACCCUAAGAAUAA
RNAcentral lists this ribosomal RNA (493 nucleotides) under Porphyromonas cangingivalis. Its description in RNAcentral is "bacterial SSU rRNA". It matches the Rfam family "Bacterial small subunit ribosomal RNA", at positions 9 to 489 of the family's 1533-position model. The record is from RNAcentral. Lineage: Bacteria; Pseudomonadati; Bacteroidota; Bacteroidia; Bacteroidales; Porphyromonadaceae.